Molecule: long non-coding RNA, 448 nt
Filed under: Catharus ustulatus (Swainson's thrush)
Lineage: Eukaryota; Metazoa; Chordata; Aves; Passeriformes; Turdidae
Description: lncRNA (ENSCUSG00005000824.1)
Source: RNAcentral
UGAAGAAGCUGCUUACGCAGUUUGUUUUUCUCACAGCGCACUCUGCAAAGCGUCAGUGUUGCUCAUCCAGUUCCAUGUCCUCAGACACUGACACAAGGAGCAGAUCAUGCCUCCUCACAGAGCUGGGAAGGCCUUGUGUGCUGGGAGAGAGGCAUGCAGCCUUGCAGGCUGUGUGCCAGAAUGUGCAAAGAAACAUGGAGGGUUGGCCUGCUGCCCCAGUGACACCUGAGGGACAGCUGAAGGACAUCCUUUAACCAGCUCUGUGGCCAUGAGAUAAACAGUGUGGCCAAGCCUGUGGCUCUCUCUGCAAGCUCCACUCUCAGCUCAGUUGUUGGAGGUUCUUACACUUGAUGCUGCAGUCAGGAGCUCGGCAGAGUCCAGCAUGAUUCUUCUUACGGUGCUGUUCCUUUGCAUCAUUUCCACCUACUCAGCCUCUGUGAAAGGUAGG